GAUGAGAACGUAGCGAAAUGCGAUAAGUAAUGUGAAUUGCAGAAUUCAGUGAAUCAUCGAAUCUUUGAACGCACAUUGCGCCCGCCAGUAUUCUGGCGGGCAUGCCUGUUCGAGCGUCAUUUCAACCAUCAAGCCCCAGGCUUGUGUUGGGGACCUGCGGCUGCCGCAGGCCCUGAAAACCAGUGGCGGGCUCGCUAGUCACACCGAGCGUAGUAGCAUACACAUCGCUCAGGGCGUGCUGCGGGUUCCGGCCGUUAAACCCCUUUUUUACCCAAGGUUGACCUCGGAUCAGGUAGGAAGACCCGCUGAACUUAAGCAUAUCAAUAAGCGGAGGA
This 335-nucleotide unclassified non-coding RNA is filed under the name soil metagenome. RNAcentral's name for it is "partial contains 5.8S ribosomal RNA, internal transcribed spacer 2, and large subunit ribosomal RNA". The stretch from base 5 to 119 matches the Rfam family "5.8S ribosomal RNA", at positions 40 to 154 of the family's 154-position model. The record is from RNAcentral.